Malurus melanocephalus (red-backed fairy wren) is the source of this 513-nucleotide long non-coding RNA. RefSeq lists it as uncharacterized. The record is from RefSeq and is a predicted model, not a curated record. The transcript is spliced from 3 exons. NCBI's taxonomy places the organism in Eukaryota, Metazoa, Chordata, Aves, Passeriformes, Maluridae.
GAAACAAGUAAAGAAUUUAUGUUUUUUCUUGUUGUUUGCUUACUCCAUCUCAGACUAAAAUAAUAACACAGAAGCUCCGCUUUGGCUCCGCUGUUGUCUGGAUGAGUGUUUAGAGCAUCAGGCUGGCAACGAGUUUUUCUUCUUGGAAACCAGGAUGAGAAAGCCACGAGUUUUUGUUUUCUGGAGGUUUCUAAACUUCUUCCUCCACACAGAAACACAGAUUCCAAACGUGCUGAAGCAAUGCCUGGAAUGGCUCUUAGAGCACCAGGAGGCUGAAUUACACCCGAGGCAUAAAAGCACGGCCGCGCUCUGCGCGCCUCGUGGCGUCAGGAGUCUGACUGGGAGCCCUUAAGUGCGCCGAGGUCAAUGGCAGCACUCGCCAGCGCCUUCAGCCCCUCUCCCAGACAUUUUAAUGUAUCUGCUCAAUUGCUGCUUUAUUAACCUUGGCUCAAACCCACCCUAAUAACCCCCCCGUCAAUUAGAGCGGUUCCACGAUUCCUAGACAAAGUUAAG